RNAcentral lists this ribosomal RNA (701 nucleotides) under Stenotrophomonas maltophilia. RNAcentral describes it as "bacterial SSU rRNA". It matches the Rfam family "Bacterial small subunit ribosomal RNA", at positions 197 to 878 of the family's 1533-position model. The record is from RNAcentral. Lineage: Bacteria; Pseudomonadati; Pseudomonadota; Gammaproteobacteria; Lysobacterales; Lysobacteraceae.
CGGGUGAAAGCAGGGGAUCUUCGGACCUUGCGCGAUUGAAUGAGCCGAUGUCGGAUUAGCUAGUUGGCGGGGUAAAGGCCCACCAAGGCGACGAUCCGUAGCUGGUCUGAGAGGAUGAUCAGCCACACUGGAACUGAGACACGGUCCAGACUCCUACGGGAGGCAGCAGUGGGGAAUAUUGGACAAUGGGCGCAAGCCUGAUCCAGCCAUACCGCAUGGGUGAAGAAGGCCUUCGGGUUGUAAAGCCCUUUUGUUGGGAAAGAAAUCCAGCUGGCUAAUACCCGGUUGGGAUGACGGUAUCCAAAGAAUAAGCACCGGCUAACUUCGUGCCAGCAGCCGCGGUAAUACGAAGGGUGCAAGCGUUACUCGGAAUUACUGGGCGUAAAGCGUGCGUAGGUGGUCGUUUAAGUCCGUUGUGAAAGCCCUGGGCUCAACCUGGGAACUGCAGUGGAUACUGGGCGACUAGAAUGUGGUAGAGGGUAGCGGAAUUCCUGGUGUAGCAGUGAAAUGCGUAGAGAUCAGGAGGAACAUCCAUGGCGAAGGCAGCUACCUGGACCAACAUUGACACUGAGGCACGAAAGCGUGGGGAGCAGACAGGAUUAGAUACCCUGGUAGUCCACGCCCUAAACGAUGCGAACUGGAUGUUGGGUGCAAUUUGGCACGCAGUAUCGAAGCUAACGCGUUAAGUUCGCCGCCUGGGG